GCCCAGGGCUACCAUUGGCUGGGUAGUGGAAUGUUGACCAAUCACAGCUCAGGGACGUGGUCGCCUCAUUGUCCUGGGAUCGCGGGAGGGGUAUAUAUAGGAAGACCAGGCAGCCUGCCGUUGACUGUUGGGAGACUUUGAGCUGCGGAAGGUGAGUCCAAAGCCGGGAGCCUCGGGACCUCCCGCCGAGGCCAAGGAGACACGAAACAGGAAGUCCUCUCAGCCGAGCCCCAGUGGCCCGAAGAAGAAGACUACCGAGGUGGCCGAGAAGGGAAAAGCCGCUCGUAGAGGGAGACGCGGGAAGAAAAGGGCUGCGAAAAAGAUGGCGGCUGUGACGGCACCUGAGGCGGGGAGCGGAGCAGCGGCACCCGGCCCCAGUGACCAGCCCAGCCAGGAGCUCCCUCAGCACGAGCUGCCACCGGAGGAGCCAGUGAGCGAGGGGUCCCAGCACGACCCACUGAGUCAGGAGACCGAGCUGGAAGAACUACCCAGUGUGUGGACGGCCGAGUACUCCCCUAUAUCCCCGAGCAGUGACUAAGUUCAGGCCCAGGUGCCAGACCUCAGAGAUCUCACCAGCAGGGUGCUUCCCCUGCUGAUGACAAUAAAAUGAAUGUGUUGC
This is an RNA transcript of Pongo pygmaeus (Bornean orangutan), 619 nucleotides long. It is a transcript of the gene named variable charge Y-linked pseudogene, with no coding region annotated. Lineage: Eukaryota; Metazoa; Chordata; Mammalia; Primates; Hominidae. The record is from RefSeq and is marked validated. The transcript has 2 exons.